UACGAGGGGUGCAAGCGUUAUUCGGAAUUAUUGAGCGUAAAGGGUGCGUAGACGGCAUAUUAAGUCAACUGUUAAAAACUCCGGCCUAACUGGAGGUCAGCGGUAGAUACUGAUAAGCUAGAGGAUGGAAGAGAGAAGUGGAAUUCUUGGAGUAGCGGUAAAAUGUGUAGAUCUCAAGAGGAACACCGAUGGCGAAGGCAGCUUCUUGGUCCAUUUCUGACGUUGAGGCACGAAAGCGUGGGGAGCAAACAGG
RNAcentral lists this ribosomal RNA (253 nucleotides) under uncultured organism. RNAcentral's name for it is "partial 16S ribosomal RNA". It matches the Rfam family "Bacterial small subunit ribosomal RNA", at positions 524 to 776 of the family's 1533-position model. The record is from RNAcentral.